Molecule: non-coding RNA, 87 nt
Organism: Ciona savignyi (Pacific transparent sea squirt)
Lineage: Eukaryota; Metazoa; Chordata; Ascidiacea; Phlebobranchia; Cionidae
Source: Rfam
CCUUCGAUAGCUCAGUUGGUAGAGCGGUGGACUGUAGAGGCUGCAACAGAUAUCCAUAGGUCGCUGGUUCGAAUCCGGCUCGAAGGA